UUUUCCAGAUGGGAAAAUGAAGAUGGUGCUUAUCAAACCAGGUUGAUAUCCAGAGAGUUCUGCUGCUUUGCCCCCAGAUCAGCACCACCUGGACUUGUCUGUCUUCUAGAAUGCCAGGAUGUUGUUAGGAGUAUGUAGAAGACCUGGGUCAUCAAAAAUGUAUCAAGACCUGACAUAGUUAACUGUGAAGACUUCUUUCCACUUAUCCCCUCAGUUUAGUAGUACAGCCAUGUUUUCAGGCAUGGGAAAUGGUUAGUCGUCUGCAAGGGCUUUAUCAAAAUGAUAAUAGAACAUAGGGCUCAGACCUUCAACAAGUGUGAACUUCUACAGCUUCAAAGAAGCUCUGCUGACAGCUGACCUUGGAUGAUUUACAUCAGGUGAAAAUCUACUUAUUUCAACAAAAAUACCUUAGAUAAAACACAUGGAAUAGAGAAAUGGUUCUAGCACACAGUGGAAUUAAAAUCAGAAGUGGAAGAGAAGAGGAGCACUGGCAGUUCCUAGUAUCCUGAAGACUGCAGCCAAACCAGCAAAGAUUUGAGGAAAUGACUCAUAGUACUCAGAAGAAAGAAAAACAUCAUAGUGAUGGCAAGCAAAGCUAGGUUAAUGUAACCAUACUGUUGAAGUCAAGUUUACUAGCCCACAGAGGCAGAGACAGGAAGCAUUGAAAUGACUGAAUUACAUUCCUAAAACGAGUCUGUAAUAGUGUUUUAUCAGGUUAGUGACUGUAAGUGGCCAAGAACUUCAGUGACAUGAAGGAAUACCUUUUUCUCUUGGACAUUUUUACACAGACAUGCUGAAGUAAAUGAAUUUGCACAUGCAACAGAUUAAGAUUUGAUCCAGUCAUGGUAGUGUAUCAAAUACUCAUUGGUAAUACCAUGAAGCAAGUUUUUCACUUAGCCUGACUCCCAAUCUUGCUAUUUUUUUAAAAUGUUAUUUAAAAAUAUAUAUGUUGAUGAUUUCUGGACUAAUCUUUGUAUUACUGCUGUUAAAAAAAAAAAAAAAGGAAAAUUAUGUAAGAUACUGAUUACAUAGGAAUGUUUGACUUAUUGCAUUAAUGGGUUACAAAUAGUAAAGACAAAUCUGGAUUUAUACUGUAAACACAAAGAUAUGUGGAUAUAGAGUUCAUCUGAAAACUAUAGCCUGGGCCAUAAUUUUUACAUUUAUUUCCUAAUUAGAAUAAUGUUUUUAAUGGUAUUUUUUGUGAACAAUUGGUGUUGCCCUUAGCCUCCAAGUGUAGUGUGGCUGUGGGUAGCAGGGCUGCCUGACUGAGAGCUGUUCUUUUACUUCUUUCAAAGGAGCAGUCAGGUAAUGAAUGGACAGGAGGCAGUGGGCACAGGUUGGCACUCACAGUCCUGAACAGAUUGUCCUUGGGACAUGACCAUGAGCAGCCUGUUUUAAUUGGCACUGUUUUGAACAUGGGACUGUGGGCUUGCCCUUCAGAGGCCACUUUCCACUUAAUUUCGUCCAUUUUCCUCUUUUCUGCUAUUUACAUGACUUGUAUACAGAUUGCUUUUUUUCUGAAUUUGCUUUUCAAACAGUUGUAUAGUCUUAUUCUAGAUGCUUACUCCAUACCACAGUUUUCUAAUUAGAAGGAUGUUAUGUGGAACUUCAUUAAAGGCUUAUCGUAAUAUUAUUCUGAGAUACACUACAUUUGCUAGCUUUCCUUGUGGAAAGCUGUAACAUGUUAUUGACAAAUCUGGCUAUUCUUUAUGCCCUAUGUGUUUUAAAAUUACUCAUUUGUUCUGGUAUACAUUUGGUUAUAUAUUUCCAAUCUCACUCUUCCUGCUUUUGAGAUUAGUGCUGUGCUCUUGCAUUAUUUUGAUUUUCACAUUUUCUGUGAGGAUCGUGGUUCAUGUUUUUUUUGGUUUUCCCCUGCUUUUUUUAAUAUGUUGACUGAUGUAUCACCUGCAGGGAGUGAUAGUUGCUGUCUUUAGGAAAUACAGCACCUCUGCCGUGACAACUGGAUCUGCUCCUUUUGUUUUGUGUAAUGCAUUGACUCCUACAGACGAGGGCAUGGGGACAGACUUAGGCUUGGCAGGAAAGUACUGUUUGCUAAGAGGCAGCAACUUGUCUCUUCCCUAAAGCUAAAUGUUCCAGACACCAAGUAAAUAGUAUUCUCUUGUAAGGUUGACCACACUAAUACAAUAUUUUUCUGCUGAGCAAUUUUCUGUCAGCAGAAGGGACAGAUCUGAUUUGCAGAAUCAGAUCAGAUUUCCAAAAUGCUAAGCUGGAGACUGUUGGGAUUGUCUUUCUGAAUUUAGUUGGUGUAGGUCAGUAUAUUUAAAAAUGGGAUUC
Cygnus olor (mute swan) is the source of this 2295-nucleotide long non-coding RNA. RefSeq lists it as uncharacterized. The transcript is spliced from 2 exons. The record is from RefSeq and is a predicted model, not a curated record. Lineage: Eukaryota; Metazoa; Chordata; Aves; Anseriformes; Anatidae.